UUUCAAUGGAACAUGAGUUUUCGUCUCUAACUUCGAUUGUCCAUCUUAUUUCAAACUUUUUUGUUAUUUGUAUUUUUAUUGUUAUUAGUUGACAAAACAUAAAUAAUACUUUAUGCGUGACUUAUUUUUUAAAAAAUAUAAAUAAGAUGCACGAUUAAAAUUGGACACGAAAACUAAUGGUUGUGUUUAAA
Molecule: non-coding RNA, 191 nt
Organism: Oryza glaberrima (African rice)
Lineage: Eukaryota; Viridiplantae; Streptophyta; Magnoliopsida; Poales; Poaceae
Source: Rfam